GACGAACGCUGGCGGCGUGCUUAACACAUGCAAGUCGAACGGAAAGGCCCUGCUUUUGUGGGGUGCUCGAGUGGCGAACGGGUGAGUAACACGUGAGUAACCUGCCCUUGACUUUGGGAUAACUUCAGGAAACUGGGGCUAAUACCGGAUAGGAGCUCCUGCUGCAUGGUGGGGGUUGGAAAGUUUCGGCGGUUGGGGAUGGACUCGCGGCUUAUCAGCUUGUUGGUGGGGUAGUGGCUUACCAAGGCUUUGACGGGUAGCCGGCCUGAGAGGGUGACCGACCACAUUGGGGCUGAGAUACGGCCCAGACUCCUACGGGAGGCAGCAGUGGGGAAUAUUGCACAAUGGGCGGAAGCCUGAUGCAGCAACGCCGCGUGCGGGAUGACGGCCUUCGGGUUGUAAACCGCUUUCGCCUGUGACGAAGCGUGAGUGACGGUAAUGGGUAAAGAAGCACCGGCUAACUACGUG
RNAcentral lists this ribosomal RNA (468 nucleotides) under uncultured bacterium. RNAcentral's name for it is "partial 16S ribosomal RNA". It matches the Rfam family "Bacterial small subunit ribosomal RNA", at positions 28 to 507 of the family's 1533-position model. The record is from RNAcentral.